RNAcentral lists this small RNA (556 nucleotides) under Pongo abelii (Sumatran orangutan). Its description in RNAcentral is "processed transcript". Lineage: Eukaryota; Metazoa; Chordata; Mammalia; Primates; Hominidae. The record is from RNAcentral.
ACCACCGCCGAGACCGCGUCCGCCCCGCGAGCACAGACCCUCGCCUUUGCCGCUCCACCGCCCGUCCACACCCGCCGCCAGAUCAUGUUUGAAACCUUCAACACCCCAGCCAUGUACGUGGCUAUCCAGGCUGUGCUGUCCCUGUACGCCUCUGGCCGUACCACUGGCAUCGUGAUGGACUCCGGUGACGGGGUCACCCACACUGUGCCCAUCUACGAGGGGUAUGCCCUCCCCCAUGCCAUCCUGCGUCUGGACCUGGCUGGCCGGGACCUGACUGACUACCUCAUGAAGAUCCUCACCGAGCGCGGCUACAGCUUCACCACCACGGCCGAGCGGGAAAUCGUGCGUGACAUUAAGGAGAAGCUGUGCUACGUCGCCCUGGACUUCGAGCAGGAGAUGGCCACGGCUGCUUCCAGCUCCUCCCUGGAGAAGAGCUACGAGCUGCCCGAUGGCCAGGUCAUCACCAUUGGCAACGAGCGGUUCCGCUGCCCCGAGGCGCUCUUCCAGCCUUCCUUCCUUGGCAUGGAGUCCUGUGGCAUUCACGAAACUACCUUCA